Zonotrichia leucophrys gambelii is the source of this 2218-nucleotide long non-coding RNA. RefSeq lists it as uncharacterized. The record is from RefSeq and is a predicted model, not a curated record. Lineage: Eukaryota; Metazoa; Chordata; Aves; Passeriformes; Passerellidae. The transcript has 4 exons.
UGUGUUUAUGUCAGAAAAACACACCCUGCAAGACACCUCACCCUAAAGCUCUUUGGCUAUAUUAUUUUUGAGCCUCUGUCUGAGCCUUUUUCCAUGACUGCCUUUCCUUCAAGCCCAGCUUUUGCAGCACAUUGCCGUGGUGUGGUACACAGACAUACUGAUGCUCUAUUCUGAAGAGGUUCUGUAGCAGGAAAAAAAGGUAUAUCUAUGAAUUUUCAGGUAAUUUUAGAUAAAUGAAUACAGGUACAAAGCUGUCCUUUGUCACAUGGCAAAAUACUCAAUGCCUGCCUGUGUGGAGCAUGAGUCAGCUUUAUAAAUUCAACCAGUAGAAGAUUUAUUUUAUUGUAAAUACCAGCCAGGAUUGCCAUCACUUAUCUGCUGGUGAAUGAAGACACCACAAGCAGGUGAUUUUAAUGGUGCUCUUUAAUGGAGUUCUGUGUGCUUGGAGCACUGAUCAGGGCUGAGAAUCUCCAUGAGAGCUUGCUGUGGAAUGAAAGCCUGCUCUGUCACUCAGCAGGGCUGGCCCAAGGACUGUCCAGCCCCCUGAUGCCACACCACACCAACAAGAAACACAGACUUCCCCCUGCUGCUUCCCUUUGGCCCAUGCCUCUCAGAUCUGCAUUGCUGUUUGAGUUUUCACAGUCCUGCUCCUGACAGGGCUGUCGUGCUGGGAAGGUCAGAUUUGGGUCUUGGACACUGGUGUGAGGCAGGAGAAACCCCCAGGCAGGACCUCACCACUGCAAACCCAUCUAAAAGCUGUAACAGCCACCAUCCAUCAGGUAUCAAGUGCAGAGAGGAUGAAAAUAAUUUGUUUGGGGAUUACCUACAGAAAGAAACUUGAUAGACACUCGAGAGAAGACAUUUCUCAUGCCAAGCCAUGGGAAACUGAUGUAGAAUUGCAGCACCACGAGCAGCAGGAGCAGGAUAAAUACAAAGUGCCUGCUCAGACAGCAGAGAGCAAGAGCUACCACAGUCCCAGAGCAGGGUCACCAGCUGGAAAAACACCCAGCAAAGUUUCCUGUUGUAGUAUUGUAGCUGAUACAAGGACUGUUCCUUUGGAAGUUGUUUUACAUUCUAUUCAUUCCUCUGAGGGCUGAGCAAACAUGGACUGAAAAAAUGACUGACUGAAGAGAAGGAUUUUUUCAUCCUGAUCAGCUUGGGCUCUGAUUUUGUCUGGCUUUACAGACUAAGGGAUAAGAUAGUGGCUGCUUGUAGAUGCAUUUGAUCUCUCAAUGCCAAGAGGACAUGCUGCCAUUCUGAUAAGGAAAAGUAACACUGAGUUGUUUCUCCAUUCUCAGAACACAAAUCUGGUUCUGCAAGCAGUUUGCCAGAUGUGAUAUCCAUCAGCACAGCCUCGUCACUAAUCCCCAGUCGAGGGCCAGGACAAGGGUAAUGAAGGAGAUCCUUUGUGAGAGGCUCAAUAUUUUCUUGUGCACUGAGUCAGGGAAAAUCUCUGUGGUUCAGAAGCAGCACUGACUGACCAGAAUCAUGUGGCAGCCCUUUGGGUUGAAGGCCUCGAGAAGUGGGACUUCCCAAACCUUUUUAGAUCUGACUGAAUAAGAAACUUAGCCUGAAAAAGGUAUUUUGUGCUGGUUGACUUUAAAACCCCCAACAAACAAACAAAAAACCCUACACAAGAAAAGAAAUUAUUCCCAUCAUUACAGAAAGUUAAAUUAAACUCUGCAUGUCCCACAACUCUUCACAGCCCAAAACUCAGUGCAAGUUCUGAUAUUAGGCUUCCUCCACAUCCUCAAAUGGCAGGCAGCACCAUAUUUAAAAAGGAAAAUGUGGAAGGUUGGCUGUGCUUCUCAGGGCCUGGUCCUUGCACAAAGGCUCUUGUGAGCUCAAUGUGACUGCACAGGGGUGACAGUGGCUCUGCAGCAGCACAGGUGACAUCUGGCACAGCUGGCACAAAUCCAGUGCAAACCUGAGCGGCUUCAGACCUGUGCUGCCAGUGUGUGACUCAGAGUCAGAGCUCCACAGAGCAAAACAAGUUUUUUGAUGUUCUGCCUCAUUGGAAACUGGCCAAAGGAAGCUGCUCCUCUGGCAAAAUCCUGGCUUGUUGAAAGAAAAGCACAUUAUGAAAGUGCCUGUUUUGAAGAAAUAAGGUAACUUUCAGUUCUGAGCUUCUUGGAAAUUAACACAACAACUUUUUCUCCAGGAAAAAACAAACAUUUUCUUGGGGUUUAAUACUUGAUGGAUAAAGGCAUAACAAGGA